This 301-nucleotide ribosomal RNA is filed under the name uncultured bacterium. RNAcentral describes it as "partial 16S ribosomal RNA". It matches the Rfam family "Bacterial small subunit ribosomal RNA", at positions 509 to 808 of the family's 1533-position model. The record is from RNAcentral.
CAGUCGCCACGGUAAUACGUAGGGUGCGAGCGUUAAUCGGAAUUACUGGGCGUAAGCGUGCGCAGGCGGUUGUGUAAGACAGGUGUGAAAUCCCCGGGCUUAACCUGGGAACUGCGCUUGUGACUGCACAGCUAGAGUAUGGCAGAGGGGGGUGGAAUUCCACGUGUAGCAGUGAAAUGCGUAGAGAUGUGGAGGAACACCGAUGGCGAAGGCAGCCCCCUGGGCCAAUACUGACGCUCAUGCACGAAAGCGUGGGGAGCAAACAGGAUUAGAUACCCCCGUAGUCCCUGUCUCUUAUACA